AUCAAUCUGAACAACUGUUUGAACAGAGCCCUUACCAAAGCUUUGAGUCCCUAAGAUCAUUCCACGCUUGUGAUCUUGUAUAGCUCCUGCAACAAUUUCAGAAGCUGAAGCAGAAGAACCAUUAACGAGUACAACCAGUGGCGUCUCUAAAUCUUUCUUCAUAGAUUUUAUAACGUAGUGAAUGUUUUUAUUACUGGGAUCUCUCGACUCGGUUGAUACAACAAUACCAGACUCUAGAAAAAUUGAGGAAACUUUAACUGCUUCAUCCAGCAGUCCACCGGGAUU
RNAcentral lists this non-coding RNA (285 nucleotides) under marine eukaryotic metagenome. The record is from RNAcentral.